Molecule: ribosomal RNA, 574 nt
Filed under: bacterium 15-L049640-122-012-G02
Lineage: Bacteria
Description: bacterial SSU rRNA
Rfam family: Bacterial small subunit ribosomal RNA
Source: RNAcentral
AGUCGACGAUGAAGCCCUUCGGGGUGGAUUAGUGGCGAACGGGUGAGUAACACGUGGGCAAUCUGCCCUUCACUCUGGGACAAGCCCUGGAAACGGGGUCUAAUACCGGAUAACACUUCCCUCCUCCUGGAGGGUGGUUAAAAGCUCCGGCGGUGAAGGAUGAGCCCGCGGCCUAUCAGCUUGUUGGUGAGGUAAUGGCUCACCAAGGCGACGACGGGUAGCCGGCCUGAGAGGGCGACCGGCCACACUGGGACUGAGACACGGCCCAGACUCCUACGGGAGGCAGCAGUGGGGAAUAUUGCACAAUGGGCGAAAGCCUGAUGCAGCGACGCCGCGUGAGGGAUGACGGCCUUCGGGUUGUAAACCUCUUUCAGCAGGGAAGAAGCGAAAGUGACGGUACCUGCAGAAGAAGCGCCGGCUAACUACGUGCCAGCAGCCGCGGUAAUACGUAGGGCGCAAGCGUUGUCCGGAAUUAUUGGGCGUAAAGAGCUCGUAGGCGGCUUGUCACGUCGGUUGUGAAAGCCCGGGGCUUAACCCCGGGUCUGCAGUCGAUACGGGCAGGCUAGAGUGUGGU